AUACGUAGGUGACAAGCGUUAUCCGGAUUUACUGGGCGUAAAGGGCGUGUAGGCGGUCUUGCAAGUCAGAAGUGAAAUUCCUGAGCUCAACUCGGGCGCUGCUUCUGAAACUGCAGGACUUGAGUGCUGGAGGGGAUAGCGGAAUUCCUAGUGGAGCGGUAAAAUGCGCAGAUAUUAGGAGGAACACCGGUGGCGAAGGCGGCUAUCUGGACAGUAACUGACGCUGAGGCGCGAAAGCACGGGGAGCAAACAGGAUUAGAUACCCUGGUAGUCCGUGCCGUAAACGAUGAAUACUAGGUGUAGGGGGUAUCGACUCCCUCUGUGCCGCAGUUAACACAUUAAGUAUUCCACCUGGGGAGUACGGCCGCAAGGUUGAAACUCAAAGGAAUCGACGGGG
RNAcentral lists this ribosomal RNA (397 nucleotides) under uncultured bacterium. Its description in RNAcentral is "partial 16S ribosomal RNA". It matches the Rfam family "Bacterial small subunit ribosomal RNA", at positions 523 to 918 of the family's 1533-position model. The record is from RNAcentral.